UAUGGUAUGUGCCAGCCGCCGCGGUAAAACGUAGGGUGCAAGCGUUGUCCGGAAUUACUGGGUGUAAAGGGAGCGCAGGCGGAUUGGCAAGUUGGGAGUGAAAUCUAUGGGCUCAACCCAUAAAUUGCUUUCAAAACUGUCAGUCUUGAGUGGUGUAGAGGUAGGCGGAAUUCCCGGUGUAGCGGUGGAAUGCGUAGAUAUCGGGAGGAACACCAGUGGCGAAGGCGGCCUACUGGGCACUAACUGACGCUGAGGCUCGAAAGCAUGGGUAGCAAACAGG
This 280-nucleotide ribosomal RNA is filed under the name Subdoligranulum variabile. RNAcentral's name for it is "partial 16S ribosomal RNA". It matches the Rfam family "Bacterial small subunit ribosomal RNA", at positions 497 to 776 of the family's 1533-position model. The record is from RNAcentral. Lineage: Bacteria; Bacillati; Bacillota; Clostridia; Eubacteriales; Oscillospiraceae.